Molecule: long non-coding RNA, 3338 nt
Filed under: Gossypium barbadense (sea-island cotton)
Lineage: Eukaryota; Viridiplantae; Streptophyta; Magnoliopsida; Malvales; Malvaceae
Description: long non-coding RNA (GBAR_LNC022759)
Source: RNAcentral
CGAUUUCAAAUUCACUACUAAAUAAGCAUCUGAGAAAUAACUAUAUUUAUAUUGUUGUGUGAUACUACUUACACUACUUUCUAAAUCCACAUCCAAGUUCCCAAAUACUACUUUAAGAAACUGUAUUGAAAACAGAUGAUUUGAUGAAAUAAUCUAUCAAUUUAUAGGUCCUUGAGAGAGCACUUGAAGAAUGUGGAGAUGAUCUGGAUUCAGCCAUUAGAAGCUUGAAUGAACUUUGUUUAGGAUCUGCCGAUAGAAAUGCAGCUACUGCUGAUAAAACUGGUGUCGAGUUAGAAGGAAAUGUUCAAAUUCAAACCCAAGGUAUGAAUGGAAAACCCUUUUGAUUCAAUCUUUAGACCCCUUUUUGACUAUGAAGCAAAGGAGGUUUAGCAACGUUUUAAAUUUUUUGCCAAUAUAUCUUCUUAUACGAUCAUAAACAUGUUUAAUGUUCGGAACAAACUCAUUUAACUAACUACGGAACUAAUGGAGCAUUGAUAGUUUCUUGGCGAGAAUAACAUUGUUCUGUUUGUAGGUAUAACAGCUAAUGGAGAUGUUCCAACUAAGGAACAAACAUCUCCAGAAGCCUUCUCAAUGGAUGGUUCAGAUUGGGUGGAGCUUUUUGUUAGAGAAAUGUUGAAUGCUUCCAACAUCGAUGAUGCCAGAGCUCGUGCUUCUAGAGCACUGGAGGUUUUCGAUAAGUCCAUCCAUGCUCGUGCCGGAGCAGAGGUGGCCCAAAACUAUCACCAGGUUGGUGCUUACUAUGGCUGUUACAGUUGCUAUUGGUUAUGUAAUAUAGGGAUUAAAUUGCACAAAUUGCUACUUUUGUUGUUUGUAGGAAAAUAUGAUGCUGAAAGAACAACUGGAAACACUAAUUCAGGAAAAUACUAUUCUCAAGCGAGCUGUUGCUGUUCAACAUGAGCGCCAGAAAGAAUAUGAAAAUCAAAGUCAAGAAUUACAGCAUCUGAAGCAAGUAAUAUCUCAAUAUCAGGAGCAGUUGAGAACCCUUGAGGUUUGGCUUCAUUCACCGGAAGCAUAUAUGCAUACUAUGUUACUCAAUUAUCAGUUGGAGUGUUGGCUACGGAUAUGUGUUAGAUACGAACAUGCUUAAUUUUUUGAGUCUUCGGAAGGUCAUAUCCUUAGGGUUAAUGUAUUAUUUGGGGUUUGAACUUGCAAGUGUUCUCACAAUGGGGUUUGAACUUUUUUUUGGUCUAAAUUAAUCCUUGAUUUUCCUUUAAAAAACAAUUCAGACUCCGAGAACAAUUGCCAAAUUCAGGACUAACUCGAGAAAAAAAAGUUCAAACCCUAAUGUGGGAACAAUUACCUAGCUCAAGGAUUAACUUGAACAAAAAACAUAAAAAAUCAAACCCCAAUGGGGGAACAAUUACCAAGUUUAGGCCAAAAAAUGGAUUAACCCCAUAUUCUUACAAUCAAUCUUCACAGAUGCAUCAUAUACAGUAUCAGACACAAAUACUUUAGAUCUUUCGGUAAUCUGAUGAAAAUUGUUUGAUCAUCCUCUCCUAACAGAUAAACAACUAUGCAUUGACAAUGCACUUGAAGCAAGCACAGCAAAGUAGCAACAUCCCAGGGCGUUUCAACCCUGAUGUUUUCUAGUAAGUGUUUUUGCUGAUAACUUGGUGUGAAAUCUGUGCUUCAAUCUUUAGCUGUUUUAAUUUUAAAGUUUGUAUUGUUCUCUUUGCAGAAUGGUAUAGGCUGCAGUUAAAAGAUAUGCCUUCGAUUUUUUUAUAAACAAAAAAAAAAAAAAUACAUGAAUGGUAGUUUAUUUUCCCAAUUAUAUACUUGAUGUGGAUAUUUGAUAGUAGAAAACAUUUGUAGGCUUUAUAUGCAUGGAGUUUAACCUUUAUUUGUGGUUUUUUUUUUGUCACAACCUUUUAUUUGUGUUACACAUACAUUCAAUGAAUUAAAAAUUAGAUCCAAUUUCAUUCGGUUCUAAAAACUUGAUCAAUGAUUAUAGGUUCUGAUCAUAUUUAUUCUUUCUGACACAAUACCUAGAAUUACUUAUAGUUCCUCCUCAAUCCAUAAAUAGGAGAUAAUGCGUUUUAACACACUCGAGUCCACGUCUUCUUGCAUUGGCAACAAUGCUCAUGUCAAUCAAGUUAAGAAUUAAUUUGAUGUAAUGAUAUGGUGACUUAUAAAAUAAUUUUAAUAAAAAAUUGAAAUUAAUUUUCUUUUAGUUUUAUACCUUUUUUUUUACCACAUUGAUUGGUUUUGUAUCUGUUGAUUAGCUUUCACAUCUUUUAUAUGUAUCGAAUCAGACAAAGUAUUGAUUUUCAGUUAAAAGAACUUGUUCAACUGAUUGGUUUAAUCCAAUUUUUUUAUAUAUACAAUGCAAAUGUAAACCGGUAGGCAUUUGCCCAAAAACAGAACUACAUUUCAAUCCCUUUAAAAAUUAUUAAAUUAUAAUUUUAUAUAUGAUAAAUUUGCACCUUGAUCUCCAAAAUAGAAGAAAAAAUGUUUAACCCUUUUUAAAAAUGAUGAAAUCAUAAAUUAAUAUAUGAUAAAAUUAUAUUUUUGACAUUUCAAAAAUUUAUAAUUCAAUUUCGAUCCCAAUUUUCUAAAUUCGAACAUGUGUAUUUAUAUGAUAUAGAAGAUAUAGCUUAAAGUUUACAUUUUGCUUUCAUGAUCAUGCUAUCAAGUUUAGGGUGAUAAUCGAGUUAAACAGAAGUGAACUUAUCAUGAAAAUCGUGCUUGAAACUAAUAAACUCAAGCUACAUCAAAUUUAUUUUAAAAUAUUUUUAGUUCAAGAUAAUAAUUGUCUAAAUAGGGUUUUUAUCUAUUGAAAAAUAAAUUCUAUCCUCAAACUCAGUUAUAUGUGAUUAACCUCAAAUUUAAAUCUAUAUAUUUUUUCAAUAUAGAUUGUUGAAGAUAUUGUGCUUCUAAAUAAAUAAAUUAAUUAAUAUUUUAUAUUUUUGAAUUCCAAUUCAAAACAAUGGAUCUAAACUCAAGCUCAAAUAAACAUAAACCAUUCAUCAAGCAAAUUUAAGCCAUCAAGGAUAAACAACUUACAUACACAAUGGGCACACAAUGGGCAGACCAUGGAGGCGUUUUAAGGAGUUUCCCUCGCAAGAGCACCUAUGCUUCUCUCACAAAAGCAUCCUCUUCUUUUACUGUGCUAAAAACUUUUAUAACCUCUCUCUUUAUCAAAGCUCAGAAAAAACGAAUGAGAGAUCUAAUAAUUCUAUGUAUGUGGGAGAGCCAAACACCAAAAUCAUUAGACCUAGGCAUCUACCCGAUCAACCCGAGGCCAAGAAUAAAAAGCCUGUAAAUAUGCACGAUAAUAGCAAACACAAGGGGAAAGGCCCUUUUAGACGGGUGUUUAU